Molecule: long non-coding RNA, 583 nt
Organism: Equus caballus (horse)
Lineage: Eukaryota; Metazoa; Chordata; Mammalia; Perissodactyla; Equidae
Source: RefSeq, a predicted model, not a curated record
CGCCAUCUUGGGUAGGGGCAGCAGCUUUGGCCGUGGCCGGGCGCCGCGGGCUGGAGUGGUAUUGCGACGCUGCCCGCGCAUGUUGAAUUGUCCCGCGUGUCCGCCGUUGCGGGCCCCACACCUGUCCGCAAAACCCCGCCCAGGGCCCCGCCCCGGAAGGGUGAGGGGUGCUGGGGCCAGCCGCGACCCAACAGGGCCGGCAGGGUGGGCGGCCGGCCGCAGGCAAAGCUCCGGAGAGGUUUCUCUCCUUUUUCUUUUUUUAAACGAUUACGUGGGCGGGGGGAACCAGCCCUGGAGGAGCGUCUGCGAGGCUUGCUGACCCGGCCCGGACUUUCCCAUCAGCUCAGGCGCCCACCCGCUUGAACCCCGGCUGACAGGAGCUCGUCUGGCACGGGAGGAGACCUGCAGGCUCUGGGCUGGAGGACCUCCCACCGGAAGGGCUCACGUCCGUGCUGCCCUCCUAGACCCAGGGAAGCGCCCGGGCUAGGUGCCGUGGCUGUGGGAUCAGAGCCGUCCCGCCUCGCAGUGGGGAGAACUUUUGCUCUCAGGGAACAUCAAGAGAAUGACUGUAUAAAGAAAAAAA